GAUGAACGCUGGCGGCGUGCCUAAUACAUGCAAGUCGAGCGAACAGACGAGGAGCUUGCUCCUCUGACGUUAGCGGCGGACGGGUGAGUAACACGUGGAUAACCUCCCUAUAAGACUGGGAUAACUUCGGGAAACCGGAGCUAAUACCGGAUAAUAUAUUGAACCGCAUGGUUCAAUAGUGAAAGACGGUUUUGCUGUCACUUAUUGAUGGAUCCGCGCAGCAUUAGCUAGUUGGUAAGGUAACGGCUUACCAAGGCGACGAUGCGUAGCCGACCUGAGAGGGGGAUCGGCCACACUGGAACUGAGACACGGUCCAGACUCCUACGGGAGGCAGCAGUAGGGAAUCUUCCGCAAUGGGCGAAAGCCUGACGGAGCAACGUGGCGUGAGUGAUGAAGGUCUUCGGAUCGUAAAACUCUGUUAUUAGGGAAGAACAAAUGUGUAAGGAACUAUGCACGUCUUGACGGUACCUAAUCAGAAAGCCACGGCUAACUACGUG
RNAcentral lists this ribosomal RNA (497 nucleotides) under uncultured bacterium. RNAcentral's name for it is "partial 16S ribosomal RNA". It matches the Rfam family "Bacterial small subunit ribosomal RNA", at positions 28 to 507 of the family's 1533-position model. The record is from RNAcentral.